Molecule: ribosomal RNA, 456 nt
Filed under: uncultured bacterium
Lineage: Bacteria
Description: partial 16S ribosomal RNA
Rfam family: Bacterial small subunit ribosomal RNA
Source: RNAcentral
UAGGGAAUCUUCCACAAUGACGAAGUCUGAUGGAGCAACGCCGCGUGAGUGAUGAAGGGUUUCGGCUCGUAAAACUCUGUUGUUGGAGAAGAACGGGUGUCAGAGUAACUGUUGACAUCGUGACGGUAUCCAACCAGAAAGCCACGGCUAACUACGUGCCAGCAGCCGCGGUAAUACGUAGGUGGCAAGCNUUGUCCGGAUUUAUUGGGCGUAAAGCGAGCGCAGGCGGUUUUUUAGGUCUGAUGUGAAAGCCUUCGGCUUAACCGGAGAAGUGCAUCGGAAACCGGGAGACUUGAGUGCAGAAGAGGACAGUGGAACUUCAUGUGUAGCGGUGAAAUGCGUAGAUAUAUGGAAGAACACCAGUGGCGAAGGCGGCUGUCUGGUCUGCAAACUGACGCUGAGGCUCGAAAGCAUGGGUAGCGAACAGGAUUAGAUACCCCUGGUAGUCCAUGCCGU